UAAUACCAGCUCCUCGAGUGGUCGGGGCGAUUAUUGGGCCUAAAAGCAUCCGUAGCUUGUUCUGUAGGUCCUCUGUUAAAUCCAACGGCUUAACCGUUGGCCCGCAGAGGAUACCGCAGGACUAGGAGGCGGGAGAGGUGGACGGUACUCCACGUGUAGGGGUAAAAUCCUUUGAUCCGUGGAAGACCACCAGUGGCGAAGGCGGUCCACCAGAACGCGCUCGACGGUGAGGGAUGAAAGCUGGGGGAGCGAACCGGAUUAGAUACCCGGGUAGUCCCAGCCGUAAACGAUGCGAGCUAGAUGAUCCGGUCGCAAAUCGCGAUCGGAGUGUCGCAGGGAAGCCGUUAAGCUCGCCGCCUGGGGAGUACGGUCGCAAGACUGAAACUUAAAUGAAUUGACGGUCGUAGCUGA
This 411-nucleotide ribosomal RNA is filed under the name uncultured archaeon. RNAcentral describes it as "bacterial SSU rRNA". It matches the Rfam family "Archaeal small subunit ribosomal RNA", at positions 471 to 881 of the family's 1478-position model. The record is from RNAcentral.